Long non-coding RNA from Poecile atricapillus (Black-capped chickadee), 6193 nucleotides. RefSeq lists it as uncharacterized. The record is from RefSeq and is a predicted model, not a curated record. The transcript has 3 exons. NCBI's taxonomy places the organism in Eukaryota, Metazoa, Chordata, Aves, Passeriformes, Paridae.
AAACCAACACUUUACAGCAAGCCAGCACCCUCAACAUGUUCUGAGGGAGUCACUAAUGCAGUACUUGGAGAACACAGCAAAAUCUGACAUUUUUUGAGUAGUCAGGACUUAUAUAAAAGCACACACACAUGUAUUUGCUUUAGUUUGAGUGCUCUUCUCAUGCAGCAACUCACACUUGCACAACAGGCUGCACAGGGUCACUCCAGUGACUGCUAACUUUGAUGACAAAAAAAUGCCAAGUCACAUAUCCUGUGCUAAGCACCUUCACCUAGGAUAACACUUCUUGCUAUGGUCCAUGGAAUUUGAAGGAUUUUAAGUGGUUUAUACAGUGUGUUUGUUGCUGAAAGCAACCCAAAUGCUAAUACCAACAUCUCUACAUAUGCUGAGUUACAUUACACAUCCUUACCCAUGUGUGACCUGGCAAAUAGAAACUGAAAUACCCAAUAUUAAAAUGUUCAUGGGUUCCAUGGAGCAGGCUGUAAUUCCAACAGAAAGUUCAAACUUGCCUGUCUGCCAGCACCAGCCACUGCUCUGACAAGUUAUAGAGGGUUGGGGUGCUUGUACGUCCCUGACCAGGAGAUUAUUUUUGGGCACUUCCCAGACCUUUAUUUCAGGUGCCAAUAAAGGCCAAAGCAGGACACUCCCAGACCAUUAAAAACAGCAACUGUGUUUACAGAGCCAGCACCUCAAGGGGAGCCAUCAAGAGCGAAAACACACAGAGCACAUGCCCCGAGAUAAGGGGCUAUCAAGUAGAGGAAUUUUGGAUUACGCCGUGGCUCGUUAUCUCCAUGUGCACACAAGGGCUGACACAAUCCAACACUGCUGCCAAAUCUCCAAACGAGCUAAACACGCACUUACAAAAAACCCACACAAACCCCUUGUGUCCAGAAAAAAACCCAACAAAUUAUCUUCAGAGCUACAUUUUAACUCCUGCCCUGGGAAGCGCUAGCCAGCCCACACAUUUAUUCUUUUGAUGGAUCUCCCAUUGAGGAAACCCAGUGUUUGAGUGCUUCCAGCUUCAGAGUUGUCCUCUUCUGGUCCUGCCAGGGUCCCACUGGAUCUCUCAGCAGAGACUGCACACUGGAUAAGCAGCAGUGGGAUCCCCAGCCCUGAGGUUGACACAGCUCUUACAGUGUUCCCAGCAGGACAGGACACAGCUAAGAGCAAUCUAUGUAUAGCAGUGGUAAUCCCUGCAUGGCCUGCCUUAUGAAUGGAAAGGAGAAAGCUUGUUAAGUCGCUGCUCCAGAUUAGAGAACACUGACCUUUCUGACGGACUGCCAAGAGUAUUCUCGCUCUUCCCACCUGCAUUGGGCUACCUGCAGACACCCAGGAGGACAAGGGUAAAGCUUUGGGAUGUUCCUGCAGUUGGAAGUGUGCGAGUUGACCAUUCUUCAGCAGGUCUCAGUAUGAUCCCAUCUGUCAAGAGGCUGAGUUAUUAAUAUAACAAGGACAAAAAAAUAAUUUAUUGGUUUUUGGAAGCACUAGCUUAGAAACAACUGUCAAAGGUAAUUUGCACAAGAAAUCCAGAUCCUAAAUCCUGUUUACAACAGGAAGAUAUACCUGUCAGCUUUGUUUUUCCAAGACCUGUUUUAAAGAUUAAGCUGUAUUGUUUUUAUUCCUUAUGGGCAAGACAACAAACAGAUAUGAACUGUUCUUGGGCUUCACUAGGUAAAAUACAGGCAUUAGGAGAUUAAGAAAGCUACUCCUCAUAUUUAAGCAUGCUUUUUAGCAGCUGCCAUUUCUUCUGCAGCCCAGGAGACAUUCAGUGAUUUCAGUGCAUCCUGAGUGGGAGCAUCCCUGUUCCGCUAUCAGUGCCCUGUGCCUCACCACCCUCGGCGCUCACACUAAUGAGUUUCCUGCUCAAAAGCAGAUUGAGUACAGCUCACUGAUAGCAACAAGUUCUCAGUAAUUAAAGCCAAAAGAAGCCCAAGACUGCAUUUACACUGAAUCACAUCAAAACCAUGUCUUUGGUAAAACAAAUGACUUCACAAAGGAUCUGUACCAUGAAGUGCCCAGCACCAAGCAGGCCAUUUUCAUGGGUGGAUGAUUUCAGCUCAGAUGUUCCUUGAGAGGCAGUGGCAGAGAAGAAAGACACUUUGCAUCACCAACAUAGGGUUUUCAUUCUUGGCUGAUGAGUCCUUGACUUGAAGCAAGACAACAUCAUUCUGACUACCCUCAUCACUUCCAGCAGAGAAGAGCUUUGAGCUGGAAUCCCCAAACCUGCAGCAUCCCCAAACCCGCUGCCAGGCCUCCUGUAUCACUCUGAAAAGCUGCAGAAUCCAUCCACAGGUAAAAUCAGCUGCAAGUACAGUUGAUUGUGCACAGACUACUCCUGCCUGGAAAGCUCAGGUACUAUAAAGCCUCCAGACUAUCUAAAUUGAGGAGGUCAAAUAACCUUGGUGUUGGAAGUGUCUCGGAUUGCCUGACCCAGACCCUUUCACAGGAGUGCACAGGAUACAAGGACUUAAGAUGUUCUGAUCUCCAAAUUUCCCGCUAACCAUACAGCUUACUCCUGUAAUAUACCUGGCUGGGAAUGUCUACAGGCAGCUAUAAAAAAACUAAUCUUGGACACGUGUAAUACACCUGCAGUCAAGAAUAUGAGAGAAAUCUGGUGAAGCAGCCUGGGGAGGAGACUGCGGCCUUAACGUUUCAGCUGACUUUUAAAUGAAGUUCAGGUUUAGAAUAUGCUCAUUUUCAGCCUCGAGCAGCACAUCCCAGUCUACUGUUCACCUCUGAAAGGUCAAAGCUUGCCAUCUUUGACAGAGCUUGCUGCUUCUUGAAAAGCACCAUGUGCCCAGCUUAUUCCAAAUUAGGUUCAAAAUUUAAAGUAAGACUUUUUAUUUCAUCCAUUUCAACAAUAUCUGUUUAUUAGCAGGGGAGUCUUUAUAAAAAUAUUUAUAUUUCUUGAAGUGACCACAGCAGCUAAGCUGACAGUAGGACAAAACAACACAUUAACUACCAUAACUAUAAAAUCCUGACGAAGCAUUUCUGCUCUUCCACCCACAGAACUAAUCUGAUCACACCUAUGUCAGCAAUUUGGCAUCCAAUUAACACUCAAAAACAGAGUAGGUCCAAAGUGUUGCUGUUAUCAACUACUGUUUAAACUCCCACUUUCAAAAUGACCUAAAUUUGCUGAUAAAUCAGAAAUGACUGAGCUAUCACGAACACUCAGUUCAGCUCCCUGACCACUGAACUCCAAGGACAUUAAAGCAUCAGUCACAAAUAAUUUAGUCUCUGUGUUUAUUCUUAGGCACAGCAAAAUGCAGCAAAUUACGGCAAAACCAGCUGCUUUUACAUUACACUGUAACAAAACCUCAGAAGCACAACAAGCAUUGACAUUCAGGGCUGUUGUUUCCAUUUUUAAUGCUUUCAUAACCUGGCUAUUUCCAGGGCUCUCUGCUAUCUGUGUUUUCCCAAAAAGCUCUGUCAGUUUCAGACCCAGCUGCAGAAAUUCAUUAAAAAUCUGUGAAUGCCGAUUUGUUCCCUGUUUGCUGCCUCCCUCCACUGCUUUCUGUGAGGCUCGUUCUUUAAAAGAACAAAAGAACAGAGCAAGAUGGAAAAGGAGAAGGGAAGAGGGAUGGCAAGCACAUCAGGCAAGCUGGUAUAACACAGCAUUGUAAUUUAAGAUCCUGUAGACAGAAGACUCCUUAGGAAAAUGAAAGUGGAAGGUUAAAGUCAUUAAGUUUACAAUGCUCAGCCAGUACCACAAUGAAACUGAGCAACCAGAUUUGAAUGGUGCCUCCUCUGCUAAGUUUCCAUCCUAAAGGACCUGACAACUAAGGAGGAACUCCAGGGAACUCCAGGUUACAUCAGGUGAGCAGAUCUCUUGUUCCCUGGGCUGCAGUGCAGAUCCUGCCUGUUACCAAUAACUAACCCCCAGCUCGAGCAGAGGUGCUGUCACGCCCUGCCCUGAGCCAUGCUGGCCGGUCUCAUCAGCUUCUUGCAACCUCUCAAUCAAGUCAAACAAGAUCAAGUUUUGUAAUAAAACUCUGCCCAAUGAUACUGUCAGUAGGUAGAGAUAGAGAUAUGAUAGUAGAUAGAGACGUCCAUGAUUGGGGCAAGUCCCAGCACGAUGAAAUCCCCAGACAUGGCACAAGACUGGUCAGUGAACACAGACAGAGGGAGCCUGGAGACCCUGCAGGCAGUGAUCCUCACGCAUCUGAGGAAAAUUCAAAGCAGCUCUUGUCAGUGACUCAAAAAGGACUCUGAAGAGAACAGCUGCCUAAAGUGGGCUCCAAGGAUGAAAAGCCCAGAAUGGCAGUGCAGAUUCCGCUUCCCCCUUCUCUCCGCCAACCUCACUCGCCUGUACCUCUGCAUGAUGCAGGCAGUUAAUUAUCUAGAAUAGCAACACUGCUGUAUGGCAAAACAAUUCUCAGAUUCCCAUCUCCCAAUAAGACACAUUUUGUAAUUGCUGAUUUUGGAAUCUCAGAUUGCAAAUAACUCACCCAACACAGAAAGGGAAGGAGUAAAAGCACCACUGUCCUGCAGGACAUUCCUCCAGUGAUUCCUUGAAUCAUUCCUUGUGUAUUUACAACAAGAAGAGAUGCCUCUGCUCAAGGGGGAUGAAGAAAUACUCUGCCACAGACCAAAGCAUGAAACUGUCCAGUGAAAAAUAAAGUGCCAAAUCCCUCACCCUGGAAGUUGACAGUGAAACUGUCGUUAUAGAGGGAUGGUAUAUUUCACCCAUGGCCAGUGUGACUGGGAUGUGGUACAUUGGAUCUAACACAUCUCCACAGGCAGCACAAAACUGUCCUUUUGUCAGAAGAUGUGUGUGUCCAUGUAAAGAUGUGGAUCUUCUGUCUGAUGGUUUCAGCGGAUGCUUUUUCUUUCAAGAAGAAAACCAGAUGAACUCUCACUCCAAAUCACUCUCAAAAGUAGCAUGCAAACUGAUCAAUACAAUAUACCCUUCCAGCCAAAUCUUCCAAGCAAAAAAAUCAUGGUUUAUUUUGUCAUUACUCAGACAGAAGCCUUUUGAUUCCCUUGACUGCCUCUUGCAUUUCGCUCUACCUUUUAUUUCUGAUUCAUCAUUCUUUUCAGCCGGAUUGAUUCGAAUUACUGUGGUGGAACAACUCAAACCUGAUGCCAAGGAAAGAGGCAGAAAGGACAUAAAAUGAGAGGAUCCUAGGAAUAUUUUCUUAGUGUCCUGUUGACUUGGCAUGGGAAAGGGGAAGGAUCAUCUCUCCAGAACUCCAUACACACAGGCACAACGAAAGCCAUAUCCACAAAGGGAACUGUGCUUUGAAACUCUUAAUGCAAAACUUGCCCUCAAGAGCUUUGCCUACAAUAUUAAAGCAAUGAAAUUAAAUCACACAGCACCUCCUGUGCUGGCUUUUGUGGACCAGGAGUGCUGGGUAGGAACUGUUCCACAGCAACACCCUCACUCCAGGCUUUCCUGCUCAACAAGCGGCACACAACUGCACAAUGCAGGGCACCCAGCUGGGAGCCACAGCUUCAUUUUUCCAACAAACAAGGAGGGAAAGGUCUCCUCCAUGACAAGAAAAGCAAUGAGCUGUAAAUAAGGGUUCAAAAGGAAAACACCCCAGGAGGGACAACACAUGAGGACCCCCCCACAUUACUGACAAACAGCUACUUCUCUUCAAAUUCACCUGAACCCCCAAGCUGGGGGUUCUCCACUGUGAAGUGCACACUGAAAGGGGAUACCCAUCAACUGCAUUAGCAAACUGCCCAGCUUUCAAGCACUGACAACAUCUCUAUUUCAGCUCACUAACAAAGCUCUCGAAGCCGCUGUAAAGACCACAGAGACUUAAAGCCUUUGAUACAGCUGCCUAUCUGCAGGCUCAGAGGGCCAGCUCACUUUACAGAACUGUUUAUGCAAGAAACGGCCUGAAAAGAGUUCUUUCAGAGCUCAAAUCCCCAAGAUCUGAGCAAGAGCCUGCCUUCCAGUUGAUUAGAAAACCAGCACUUUCAGCCUGACAGAAGUCCCUUGGAAAUGCAAUGGUAAUCCUGCUCUGAAGGCCAGAGCAUCCUCCCCCGAGGCUGACUCCAAGUUCCCUGUGCACAAGCAUUCAUUAAUACAAGUUGCAGCGACAAGCAGCACAGAGCAGGAGAAGGCACGACACCAGCAGUGUGGCCGGAGUGCACGGAGGAAGCGUCCUGCCUAGCAGUGACCCUGUCAGCUUCAUCUGGAAACAGAGAAAUGCAGAAACUGGGCUGGGGAAAAGCAGAAGGCAAG